Molecule: non-coding RNA, 968 nt
Organism: Kogia breviceps (pygmy sperm whale)
Lineage: Eukaryota; Metazoa; Chordata; Mammalia; Artiodactyla; Physeteridae
Source: RefSeq, a predicted model, not a curated record
CCAGUAGCUGGGGGGGAGCAGGUUUACUGCCGAUGGGCGGGACAGAUGCUUGAUGAAGCAAGUGAUUUUCCCUUACUGUCAGCAUGUCGCUUCUGUUCACCUCUGGAGAACUCAGGACAGAAGGGCAUGUGACCUGGAUUGGAAGGAGAGAGGAUAGUAGCUCAAGGGAAUAACUAGGCGUGGAGAAAGGCUCAGUAAUCUGAUGAAAAGGCAUGCAUCUUUAAUCUGGAGCCAAUGACAAGCACAUUUGAAUGACUGUGGACAGGAUAAGAGAUCAGUGAUUUUUUUGGAGAGUUUUCCAGGACGGUGGAAAGUCAGAAGUUGGUGCUUGCUUCUUGAUGAAGUUGUAAAAUGCCUCCUCAUCUUCCUCUCUUCCUAUGGGCCACCUGACUCCACUAGCACAGGCAUGGGAUUGUACCCUUUCCCUGGAAGUAAGUCAUUCAAGAGGAGGUUCAUUCAUUUGAGCAGAUUUGUCAACAUCAGUAUGCAAAGAAGAUACUGGUUUGCCAUGCUGGUCUCUACUGAUUCAAAAAAGCACUGCCCGUCUUGAACAGAUACAGUGUCUCCUAUGAGCUGGGAAAGGAAUAUUGAGGUUGCUUUGAAAUGACAUCUUAAAGGGCAUUUCUAUUCUGUCUAAGCUGUUCAAGUGUAGAAGUCAAGAGCUUAAAACCUACAUAAGGACUUGGUGAAGGCUGAUGUGUGGGGGGGAGGGGCACAUGUGUGUAUAUCCUGCCAUACUCACUCACACCCCCCCAAAAGAUGAGUACACUUCUAGACUUUCUCAGAGACAGUUCCACACCCUCCACUAAUUAUGAGUUCCAGGAGCUUACAAAAUUUAUUGUUAAGAAGUUAAAAUUUUCAGUAACGUUUAUUCAUUUUCUGUGUGUUCCAAAUACAGUGCAAACUCAUGCAGAGCUUGUAAACUAGUAUGCUCAUACGUGGGCCUCUGUGCUAACGAACUUCUGCCU